RNAcentral lists this ribosomal RNA (376 nucleotides) under Chloropicon mariensis. Its description in RNAcentral is "partial Archaeal large subunit ribosomal RNA". It matches the Rfam family "Archaeal large subunit ribosomal RNA", at positions 2265 to 2642 of the family's 2987-position model. Lineage: Eukaryota; Viridiplantae; Chlorophyta; Chloropicophyceae; Chloropicales; Chloropicaceae. The record is from RNAcentral.
GACAGUGUAACACCAGCCAUUUGUUACCGUAUCGCUAACCUGAACAAGGGACAGCGGCAGGUGGGCAGUUCGGCUGGGGCGGCACCCCCUUGAAAAUGUAUCGAGGGGGCCCAAAGAUUGGCUCAGGCGGGACAGAACUCCGCCGGUGAGGGCAAAGCCAAAAGCCAGUCUGACUGGAUUCCCAAUGAUACGGGAUUCAGAGGCGAAAGCCGGGCUUAGCGAUCCAUCAUGUCCUCACUAUUGGGGGCUGGUGGUGACAGAAAAGUUACCCUAGGGAUAACAGGCUCGUCGCGGGCGAGAGCUCCCAUCGACCCCGCGGUUUGGUACCUCGAUGUCGGCUCUUCCCAUCCUGGCUCUGCAGCAGGAGCCAAGGGUG